GAAGUUAUAGCUCAUGUGAUAGAGUGCGUGCUUAACAUGCAUGAAGUCCUGGAUUCAAUCCCCGGUACCUCCU
RNAcentral lists this transfer RNA (73 nucleotides) under Camelus bactrianus (Bactrian camel). It matches the Rfam family "tRNA". From Rfam's summary of the family: Transfer RNA (tRNA) molecules are approximately 80 nucleotides in length. Their secondary structure includes four short double-helical elements and three loops (D, anti-codon, and T loops). RNAcentral also lists the same sequence under 1 other name. Lineage: Eukaryota; Metazoa; Chordata; Mammalia; Artiodactyla; Camelidae. The record is from Rfam by way of RNAcentral.